RNA transcript from Cynoglossus semilaevis (tongue sole), 2706 nucleotides. It is a transcript of the gene named mucolipin TRP cation channel 2, with no coding region annotated. The transcript is spliced from 16 exons. NCBI's taxonomy places the organism in Eukaryota, Metazoa, Chordata, Actinopteri, Pleuronectiformes, Cynoglossidae. The record is from RefSeq and is a predicted model, not a curated record.
CUUAAAUCCGUGUAGACUUUCUCAUGAAUGCAGGUAGUGUCCACAGCACACGGACUUGUUCCUGUCAGCGAUGCACAAACCGCCGCUCUGUUCCGAAACACUCGUCUGUUGCUCAAGUACAUCAAGUUUAAACGACAAGCUCGCUCUGAAAUGACCCAAGACACAGUGACUGAGGAGAAACUGAGAGAUGACCUCAUGUACUACUUCAUGAGUCCCUGUGAGAAGUACAGAGCCCGGCGUCAUUUACCUUGGAAGAUGGGGGUUCAGAUCUUGAAGAUUAUCAUGAUCACCACACAGCUGGUUCUUUUCGGCCUCAACAACCAGCUGGUGGUGGCCUAUAAGGAGGAGAACAGCAUGGCGUUCAAAAACCUGUUCCUUAAGGACUACAGUGGUGUGGACGAGGACGACUACAGUGUUGCUGUUUACUCCCAACAAGGCGUCUACGACAGCGUGUUCUAUGUUCUAGAUCAGUACAACCAGUUCAGCCGGCUCUCCACAGGACCUAUCACAUACGCCGAGGAUGAGGACGGCAAUCUGCUUCCACUGGCCAUUUGUAAAGAGUACUACAAGAAAGGGAGUGUGAAUCCCACGGGGGAGGCCUUUGACAUUGACGCUCAACUGGAGAAAGUUUGUAUGUCACAUUAUCCACACAACCCUUUACUGCACAAUUCAUCGUUUUUUGAUUUGGACUUUUACAGACUUGUCAACAUCAAAAUAACUUUUGAGCUCAAAGGAAUCAAUCUGCAGACCGUUCGAACACGAGAGUUGCCCGACUGCUACUCUUUCCAUGUCACGAUAACAUUUGAUAACCAGGGUCACAGUGGAAUAGUAAAAAUAUUUUUGGACAUUGCUGCUCAGAGCUCUGCCUGUCGAGACUGGAAAAUAUCUGGAACAGUUCAGAAAAACACACAUUAUCUUCUGAUAUUCGACGGCUUCGUCAUUCUGGUGUGUCUCACCUCAGCCGUGCUCUGCACCCGCUCCAUUGUUCUGGCCGUGAGGUUACUGCAGAGAUUCACUCGCUUCCUUCGUGAGACCUCCGACCGCAGCGUGUGUGAGGAAGACCAGGGCGAGUUUCUGAACGGCUGGUAUGUGCUGGUCAUCGUCAGCGACCUCUUGGCCAUAAUUGGAUCCAUACUAAAGAUGGAAAUACAAGCCAAGAAUCUAACAACUUAUGACGUGUGCAGUAUCUUCCUGGGAACAGCUACAUUAUUGGUGUGGGUCGGCGUGAUCAGAUACCUGGGAUAUUUCCAGAAAUACAACUUGCUGAUCCUAACGAUGAAAGCCGCCUUCCCGAAGGUGCUGCGUUUCUGCUGCUGUGCCGGCAUGAUCUACCUCGGCUACACCUUCUGUGGGUGGAUCGUACUAGGGCCCUACCACGAAAAGUUCGAGGGUCUGAGUCUGGUGGCAGAAUGUUUGUUCUCUCUGCUGAACGGUGACGACAUGUUCACCACCUUCGCUCAGCUGAAGGACAAAAACACGCUGGUGUGGCUCUUCAGCCGGGCCUACCUCUACUCCUUCAUCUCCCUCUUCAUCUACAUGGUGCUGUCGCUCUUCAUCGCCCUCAUCACGGAUUCCUACGAGACCAUCAAGAACUACCAGAAGAAUGGGUUCCCACUGACGGACCUGCAGCAGUUUCUGAGGGAACCAAAGAGGUUUCCUGUUGUGGACGACGACACUCGCACAGAUGUUCAGGUCACCAGCUCCACGCUCUGCUGUUCGUGCUUCUACUGCCAACGAGUUCCUGAAAAUGAUGACAUCAUGCUGAUCAGCUGAGAAGCUUCACGCCUCCGAGUUGGAUGAAAAGGAUGCUGGGAGUCCUGACUGAUACAGACCAUAAAUGACGUGGUUGUUAAACCUUAUGAAAUACCAGAGGAGUUCCUUCUGCCUGAGGGGCUCAUGCUAUUGAGCUCUGCUACCAGAGGGGGUGCUGUGUAUUAGUUCAACAUUUCUAUUGGAGGUUUCUUUGGCUUUUUUUUUUUUUUUUUUUUGCAUUGGUUUCCUAUUUGCUGCAGUCUUUGUCAUUCAUUUUUCAGGGUCUGGUGUGUGAGUUGAACUUAAGCCAAAGUGUGCUGGUAAAGUAUUGGGAAAGAGAGGAAUUUUUAAAUGACUUCACCAGGACCGUACUGUGACUCAGCUUUAUCAUGAUGAUCAUCAUCACGUCUACCAACACAUGAAGACGUUGAAACGUGCUGCAGCAUGACCUCACAGUGUGACUUCUAUGCUUUGAACCAGAUACAAAUCAAGGAAACGUGUUGUGCAUAAACCUCAAAAGAAUCCAGCAUGAAGUUCUUCUAUAAAAAGAGUUCCAACACCGUCCACUAGGCUGCCUCUGGGCUAUGUAACAUCUGCCAAAAGAUCGCUCAUCCAAUUUCAGCAGAAGUGUUAAAACACCUGAUAAGAUCAGUACCCGUGUGGUGACACGACCCUCGUGUUGGUUAUAUUUCAGGUUCUGACAGGUGUUCCUUUUAGGAGUGGAGAAAACCAAAAUCAAUCACCUUUGGGUUGACCUUUAUCAGGGGUCACCACAGGUGAAGUCCACGACAGCCGGACUGAGAUGGAAAUGAUGGUGAUGUUUAGAAAUAAACAGAACUGGGAGAAGAAGAUUUAAAGUCUCAGGGUGUUUUGGUAGAUUUUUGUUUGAAUACAUUUCUAUUAAAAAUGAUGGAUUAUUGUUUGAUAAGAUACUCACUUGUAUAUUUAUAUAUU